This 2772-nucleotide ribosomal RNA is filed under the name Wolbachia pipientis. RNAcentral's name for it is "23S ribosomal RNA". It matches the Rfam family "Bacterial large subunit ribosomal RNA". Lineage: Bacteria; Pseudomonadati; Pseudomonadota; Alphaproteobacteria; Rickettsiales; Anaplasmataceae. The record is from RNAcentral.
AUAAAUAAAUUAUUAAGCGUACAUGAUGGAUGCCUUGGCAGUCAGAGGCGAUGAAGGACGUGGUAGCCUGCGAUAAGCUGUGGGGAGUCGGCAACAGACUGUGAUCCACAGAUUUCCGAAUGGGGAAACCCACCUAGCAUAAGCUAGGUAUCGUUGCAUGAAUACAUAGUAUAUGAAGCGAACCGGGGGAACUGAAACAUCUAAGUACCCCGAGGAAAAGAAAUCAACCGAGAUUCCCUCAGUAGCGGCGAGCGAACGGGGAAGAGGCUAGUGAUUUAAAAAUAAGAAUUAGAAUACUCUGGAAAUGGUAACCAUAGAAGGUGAUAGUCCUGUAUAAAUAGAAAGUUUUUAAAUCCUGAGUAGGGCGGGACACGUGACAUCCUGUCUGAAUAUGGGGGGACCAUCCUCCAAGGCUAAAUACUCCUGACUGACCGAUAGUGAACCAGUACCGUGAGGGAAAGGCGAAAAGAACCCCGGGAGGGGAGUGAAAUAGAACCUGAAACCGUGUACGUACAAGCAGUGGGAGCCCUAUAUCUUUGUUAGGUGACUGCGUACCUUUUGUAUAAUGGGUCAGCGACUUAUAUUCUGUAGCGAGGUUAACCGUAUAGGGGAGCCGUAGGGAAACCGAGUCUUAACUGGGCGUUUAGUUGCAUGGUGUAGACCCGAAACCGGGUGAUCUAGCCAUGGGCAGGUUGAAGGUUGGGUAACACUAACUGGAGGACCGAACCGACUAAUGUUGAAAAAUUAGCGGAUGACCUGUGGCUGGGGGUGAAAGGCCAAUCAAACUCGGAGAUAGCUGGUUCUCCCCGAAAGCUAUUUAGGUAGCGCCUCGGACGAAUACUAUUGGGGGUAGAGCACUGUUUGGGCUAGGGGGUCAUCCCGACUUACCAACCCCAUGCAAACUCCGAAUACCAGUAAGUAAUAUCCGGGAGACACACGGCGGGUGCUAACGUCCGUCGUGAAGAGGGAAACAACCCAGACCGCCAGCUAAGGUCCCAAAGUUAUGGUUAAGUGGGAAACGAUGUGGGAAGGCUCAGACAGCUAGGAUGUUGGCUUAGAAGCAGCCAUCAUUUAAAGAAAGCGUAAUAGCUCACUAGUCGAGUGACUCUGCGCCGAAAAUGUACCGGGGCUAAAGCUGUAUACCGAAGAUGUGGGUGCUUAUUGAUUUCGAUUAGUAGGCGCGGUAGGGGAGCGUUCUGUAAGCCGUUGAAGGUGUCCUGUGAGGGGUGCUGGAGGUAUCAGAAGUGCGAAUGCUGACAUAAGUAACGAUAAAGCGGGUGAAAAGCCCGCUCGCCGGAAGACCAAGGGUUCCUGUCCAACGUUAAUCGGGGCAGGGUGAGUCGACCCCUAAGGCGAGGCCGAAAGGCGUAGUCGAUGGGAAACAGGUUAAUAUUCCUAAACCUCUUAAGUGUGACGGGUUUUGUAUUUGUAUAGGUCUUAUUGGAUUGAUCUAUGCUUAAAAGAAGCUCCAGGAAAUAGCACUUAUAUUUAUGAGGCCGUACCGCAAACCGACACAGGUGGGCGAGGAGAGAAUCCUAAGGUGUUGAGAGAACUCUGGUGAAGGAACUCGGCAAAAUAUACCCGUAACUUCGGGAGAAGGGUAACCUGCUUUUAGGCAACUAUGAGUAGGUGGCACAAAAUAGGGAGUAGCAACUGUUUAUUAAAAACACAGCACUCUGCAAACACGAAAGUGGACGUAUAGGGUGUGACGCCUGCCCGGUGCCGGAAGGUUAAUUGAUGGGGUUAGCGCAAGCAAGCUCUUGAUCGAAGCCCCGGUAAACGGCGGCCGUAACUAUAACGGUCCUAAGGUAGCGAAAUUCCUUGUCGGGUAAGUUCCGACCUGCACGAAUGGCGUAACGAUGGCCACGCUGUCUCCACCCGAGACUCAGUGAAAUUGAACUCGCUGUGAAGAUGCAGUGUACCCGCGGCAAGACGGAAAGACCCCGUGAACCUUUACUAUAGCUUGACACUGAACAUUGGUCCUUGAUGUGUAGGAUAGGUGGGAGGCUUUGAAGCGUGGACGCCAGUCUGCGUGGAGCCAUCCUUGAAAUACCACCCUUUACAACUUUGAGGUUCUAACUCAGGUCCGUUAUCCGGAUCGAGGACAGUGUCUGGUGGGUAGUUUGACUGGGGCGGUCUCCUCCCAAAGAGUAACGGAGGAGCACGAAGGUUGGCUAAUCCUGGUCGGACAUCAGGAGGUUAGUGCAAUGGCAUAAGCUAGCUUGACUGCGAGACUGACAGGUCGAGCAGGUACGAAAGUAGGUCAUAGUGAUCCGGUGGUUCUGAAUGGAAGGGCCAUCGCUCAACGGAUAAAAGGUACUCCGGGGAUAACAGGCUGAUACCGCCCAAGAGUUCAUAUCGACGGCGGUGUUUGGCACCUCGAUGUCGGCUCAUCACAUCCUGGGGCUGAAGUCGGUCCCAAGGGUAUGGCUGUUCGCCAUUUAAAGUGGUACGCGAGCUGGGUUCAGAACGUCGUGAGACAGUUCGGUCCCUAUCUGCCGUGGGCGUUGGAGAAUUGAGGGGAGCUGCUCCUAGUACGAGAGGACCGGAGUGGACGAACCUCUGGUGUUCCGGUUGUCAUGCCAAUGGCAUUGCCGGGUAGCUAUGUGCGGAAGGGAUAAGUGCUGAAAGCAUCUAAGCAUGAAGCCCCCCUCAAGAUGAGAUUUCCCAAUUAAGGCCGUGGGAGACUACCACGUUGAUAGGCUAAGUGUAGAAGCAUGGUAACAUGUGAAGCUAACUGGUACUAAUAGCCUGAUUGAUUUAUUUGCUUUC